GACGAACGCUGGCGGCGUGCUUAACACAUGCAAGUCGAACGGUAAGGCCCUUCGGGGUACACGAGUGGCGAACGGGUGAGUAACACGUGGGUGAUCUGCCCUGCACUUCGGGAUAAGCCUGGGAAACUGGGUCUAAUACCGGAUAGGACUCCGGACUGCAUGGUCUGGGGUGGAAAGCUUUUGCGGUGUGGGAUGGGCCCGCGGCCUAGCUGCUUGUUGGUGGGGUGAUGGCCUACCGAGGCGACGACGGGUAGCCGGCCUGAGAGGGUGACCGGCCACACUGGGACUGAGAUACGGCCCAGACUCCUACGGGAGGCAGCAGUGGGGAAUAUUGCACAAUGGGCGCAAGCCUGAUGCAGCGACGCCGCGUGAGGGAUGACGGCCUUCGGGUUGUAAACCUCUUUCAGCAUCGACGAAGCGAAAGUGACGGUAGGUGCAGAAGAAGGACCGGCCAACUACGUGCCAGCCGCCGCGGUAA
Molecule: ribosomal RNA, 478 nt
Filed under: uncultured bacterium
Lineage: Bacteria
Description: partial 16S ribosomal RNA
Rfam family: Bacterial small subunit ribosomal RNA
Source: RNAcentral